RNAcentral lists this long non-coding RNA (2269 nucleotides) under Homo sapiens (human). Its description in RNAcentral is "HSALNT0230612". The record is from RNAcentral. Lineage: Eukaryota; Metazoa; Chordata; Mammalia; Primates; Hominidae.
UUCUGUGUCUUUUUUGGUUUUGGCCUUAUUACCUACGACAGGAUUUUCACGACAAAUUGGAGAAUUGGAGUUGGAUCCAUUUCAGCUGACACCCGGACACUUCUCCACAUUUGCGGAGUGAGUCCUAUUUGGGAGGUAUUCACAGUCAUCAUCUUUGAUCACUAAUUACGUACAACAUCCUUACAACUAGCAGGUAUAAGUAACCUCAUUUUUCUGAAGAACAAAUGCAGACAAACGUCACUGCCUAAAGGUCUGGGAUCUUGCACAGUCUCAACAAGAGUCCCUGAUGGUAGGUGAGAUCUUGCGGCUUCACCAGCCUAACUUCUGAGAUGAGGGACGUGAGUGGAGCUUUUCACCUGCUCCAGAUCUGCUCUGAAUGGUCUUUGUUAAGUGUAUGAAUUGAUACUAGAGACUGUUGAGAGACACUUACAUUUGGGGAACUUUUUCUGAGGCUGAGAAACUGGAAGACUCCUUGGCUCUGAAGGAGAAUUUCAGAGCUGGUUGUCCACACUCACCACAGGCCAAGGCUCCAUGGGGGAAGGACAGUGUGGAUACUGGAGGCCCAACUCCCUUGCCUAGCACCGUCUCCUGCCCUUGUGUCUCCCCAGCAUCUGAGACCUUCCUCCAUUGCAACAGCACCCCCCAACUGGUAGCAUAAGCACCUGGAUUUAUUUCCACUGUCCCAGCAGACUAGGAGCAUCCUGAGAGUAAGGGCUGUGGCUCGCUCAUCUCUCUAUGCCCAGCACAGAGUUUAGUGACUCUUCCCUGAAAGAAGGAAUGAAAGAUGAGUUCAUUUGAAUCCUGAACUGCAGGCCACUGGGUGUAAAAGGAAAGCAAAGCUCUCGCCCACCCACCCACACCUGAAAAUGUGGAUCCUUCAAACAAGUUUAGCAAACAGGCUUUGUUCUCAGGUACAGAGACAGCGUGACAUUGUGUGAGUUGCUCUUCCUUUCCCUCUGUCUCUUUAGUGUCUGAGCAAAAUGUUCUGCUUUUCAUUGUCGCUCUUCAAACAGCAUGUUAUUGUCAUGCUUCUGCCUCCUUUUAAUAAAGAGGAAUGAGGAGGGUUUUCUUGUACACGCAAAAUUAACACAAAUCAAAACUGCUGCUGUUCUUUGAUCCGUCCUGGACUCUGAUUCGUGUCAGCCUUUUCAUUUUCCCACUGAGAGUGUACAGCUCAGGAAGGAUUACACGGGGAGGAAAACCGCUUACCACUUCCCAUUUGAUUAACACAAUUUAAUGCAGCAAUAAUGCCAGGGAAGUUCAUUACCAGGGAAAAGCUCUGAUGCAGGCUGCCCACAGUGUCUGGGGACGGGGUCUUUUUAUUUAAAAUGCAAUCAAGCCCCUAUGGUGAGUGGAUCCGUGAAAUCCUUCCUAAGCUGGGGAAGGUGGAAUUGCCAUUUAAUGUAGACAGACAAAAAUCCCUCCUGUUUGUACAGCUUUUGACAAUUUAUUCACGCUGUCUACGAAUAUUUAGUGUGGCUUCUUAUGCUCAAAACCUUGGGAUGAAGAAAACUGAAAGGGACUGUACCCUCAUUGUGCUUACAGCCUAGAAGGGGAAGUGGACAUUUUUCAAAGACGAGCACAUUGCUGACAGGUCAGGAUGUCAUGAAGGGGUCGCGCUGGGAGUGUGGGAGCAGGUGGUGCAGCACCUGUCUGGGAAAUCAGGGAAAACCACCCUGAGGAGGUGACAUACAGGCCAAGCUCAGAAGCAUGAGUAAGAGUUGAUGUGGAACAAACACAAAGGGGAGAGGUAGAGCUCUUGAAGUUAAGAAACUCCUGUGUGAGUUGCGAGGCAGCAGGAGCCUGGCCCGCUAGCAACACUGUCAAGUUGUCCAUGUGCCUGGGGCAGAUGGGGCAGGGGACAGAUGGGGAUGGCACCGGAGAAGAGUUUUGACGUACCCAAGGCCCCAGGCUGCCUCCUUCUUGCUCUGUGGCAGCCUGGUGUGAACAACGUAGAGUCUCCCUCAUGGCCAAGGAAAGAUCAGGAAUGUGUGCUCUCUCAGCCUGGGCAAGAUGGCGAAACCCCAUCUCUAUAAAAAAUAAAAAAAAUUAGCCGGGUGUGGUUGGCGCACGCCUGUGUUCCCAGCUACUCAGGAGGCUGAGGUGAGAGGAUUGCUUGGGCCUGGAAGUUGGAGGCUGCAGUGAGCUGUGUUCAAACCACUGCACUCUUGCCUGGGUGACAGAGUGAGAUCCUGUUUCAAAAAAAAAACAAAGAAAGAAAGAAGGUGAGAGACAGAGAGAGGGAGAGAAAGAAAGGAAGGAAGGAAGG